CCAACAUAUCUAGGGCUUAAUUUGCCACGAACCCCAAAUCUCAUCACACCUUUUGUAGGUGACACUCUCAAGAAAACAUGAUCUCCAAUUUGAAAUUCCAAUUCUCUCCUUCUAUUAUCAGCAUAACUCUUCUGGCGACUCUGAGCUGUACGAAGUCGUUCUCUGAUCAUUUGCACCUUAUCAACAGUCUGUUGUACUAUCUCUGGACCUAAUAAUUU
This 218-nucleotide long non-coding RNA is filed under the name Phoenix dactylifera (date palm). RNAcentral's name for it is "long non-coding RNA (PDAC_LNC022318)". Lineage: Eukaryota; Viridiplantae; Streptophyta; Magnoliopsida; Arecales; Arecaceae. The record is from RNAcentral.